Molecule: long non-coding RNA, 1216 nt
Organism: Oryzias melastigma (Indian medaka)
Lineage: Eukaryota; Metazoa; Chordata; Actinopteri; Beloniformes; Adrianichthyidae
Exons: 2
Source: RefSeq, a predicted model, not a curated record
ACACCAGCAGAGUCAGCUUCAUGGCAACAGAAUAAACUCAGGAGUCUUUAUGAUGGAGACUGAACGAUAAGCAGUGAUUAAAUAACAUGAUCUUUGCUCUUGACUGUUUAUUAUUGUUGGUAUUUUUAUGGUUUAUGGAUCAGAUAAAAAAGUCAAAAAGUCAACCGCCACCCACCACCUCCUUCCUGCCCUUUUAUAUAAACUAUCAUCUCUUUAAAGCUUAUUACUUCAAUGACUGUAAACAAUAGAGAAGCAACGAUUUACUUUUCCCACAGUUCAGUUCAAACCUCGAUUUUUUUCUGUUCAAUAUGUGAUUUGUGGAUUACAAAAAUACACAAACCUAAAAAUUCAGAAAAUGUCUUAUUUUAUAAGGCAGUGAAGGAAACCCUUUCAGUUAAACUAAACGCAGUGUAAUAAAACACAACACAAGUUUCAUUUCCUCAUGACUCAGCUCAACCGCUUAAACUGAUCAUCAGGACUUUGGGGUUUGUAAGUGACCAACCGAUUCCCCUGAAACCGUAUCGAGUCAGUCUCUGUUCUGAGAAUCCCGCCGCAACAGAGAGAAUCAACCAUCAUGUCAUGGCAGCAGCUGCCCUGCUGCUAAUCAUCUGAUUCCCUCCACCUGUGCCUGCUCCUAUAAAGCUCUGCCUCUGCCUUUCACUCUUGCUGGAUCGUUGCACUGCAAGCACUCAGAAGACUCACCUGCUCUGUUUGUUGCCAGCAAAAUCCUGUUCUGCUGACCACUCCGUUCAUCUCCAAGCCAGCAUACUCGGCCUGUGUUCCUGCCUCUGCUCUCAGCCAAAUCCUGUUCUGCCUGCCUGCCCAACUCAAGCCAGCCUGUGUUCCUGCCUCUGUUCUAGUCCUCAUGGUGCCUGAUUCUGUCUGCUCCUGUCUCUCUGCUGCAUCAUUUCACCCCAAGCCUCGUAAGUCCCCUCAACUUUGAUUUUUGGAGCUUUUCCCAGAGAUCUCUGGUGAUUAUUAUUUGGAUUGGAAAACAAGUUUGUCACUGAACCCCAACUUCCUGAGUUUACUGCGCCCUCCUGGCUUUCCCUCUCCUCAUUACCAUUUGUCUGGAGCCACGCCCUCCCUUGCUCUUCAGAGGACUCCACUCCAUCCCUGCAGUCUGUUCUCCUCAUCCCAUGUCCGUGCAUUGGCUGCGUUGUUCGACGCCAGGGGGUCCUCCAAGACAAAGAAUUAAUAAAUCUGGUUUCUUGAA